UUACCCAAAUAAACAUUUCUCUCUCUUUCCUCUCACCUUUUCUCUUCCCCUCUCUCUCUCUAACCCUAACCUAAUAACGCCGUCGACGUCGCCAGCAUUCCUGCCAGUCACCGUCGUCGCCGACGCCCCUACCCAGUCCCGUCGUUUCCCUCGCCGUCGACGGCGAACCAUAGGAGGUCUUUGCUGAAUAGAUUUUCCAAUUUCCAACAGGUCUGAGGUGGGUUCUUGUUAUUCUCAGUUUGGUUCUAAAAAUAAAGAUGAUUAUAGCUAUACACGUGGCAGUAAGUCUGAUGGUUCAGUUGAUAUAGAAAAUGGUGAUGAUGAAAGUAAUAA
Molecule: long non-coding RNA, 333 nt
Organism: Lycium ferocissimum
Lineage: Eukaryota; Viridiplantae; Streptophyta; Magnoliopsida; Solanales; Solanaceae
Exons: 2
Source: RefSeq, a predicted model, not a curated record